AAUCGGCGUACAACGAUGGGGACGUGUCCCUAAUGUGGAGCCGAGGGAAACGAGCCACAGCAAAAGCACCUGUAUUCAAGGUGGAAAGCUGAAACAUCAAGUGUCGGGCAAUAGAGUUUGGUAGGUCGGUAACGAUUCGAAGAAGUUUGGCCCG
The submitters of this non-coding RNA (154 nucleotides) gave its source as unclassified sequences. The record is from Rfam.